UACGGAGGGUGCGAGCGUUAUCCGGAAUUACUGGGUUUAAAGGGUGCGUAGGCGGCUAAGUAAGUCAGGGGUGAAAGUUUGCGGCUCAACCGUAAAAUUGCUUUUGAUACUGCAUAGCUAGAAUUAGGAUGAGGUCAGCGGAAUGUGGCAUGUAGCGGUGAAAUGCAUAGAUAUGCCAUAGAACACCAAUUGCGAAGGCAGCUGGCUAGACCUGGAUUGACGCUGAGGCACGAAAGCGUGGGGAGCGAACAGG
RNAcentral lists this ribosomal RNA (253 nucleotides) under uncultured bacterium. RNAcentral describes it as "partial 16S ribosomal RNA". It matches the Rfam family "Bacterial small subunit ribosomal RNA", at positions 524 to 776 of the family's 1533-position model. The record is from RNAcentral.